This is a long non-coding RNA of Arvicola amphibius (Eurasian water vole), 1501 nucleotides long. RefSeq lists it as uncharacterized. The transcript is spliced from 3 exons. The record is from RefSeq and is a predicted model, not a curated record. NCBI's taxonomy places the organism in Eukaryota, Metazoa, Chordata, Mammalia, Rodentia, Cricetidae.
CAUGGAGCCGCCACUGGAGAUAGACAUGCUGAAACUUUGCUGGAUAACUGGAGUAACAUAAAAAGUUCUUGGUUGAAAUAGGAUCAGAGAUGAACGUUUAAGACUCCUCGAUGCACAAAAAGCACUCACAGCAUGACAGGAUUUAAAAUUUCUAUUUGGAUAAUACAAUGAGACAAGAAGGGGGAAGAAUUUGAUUCAGAUACAGAUACCUGGCAAAUCUCUGCCCAGACUUCUGCUUUCUGUUUACCACGUCUAAGGGGAUGUGGGAGUGGCUGCAAGAAAAUGAAUGGAGUGAGGAGAAAGAGAAGGGGGUGGAGCUAGCAACCCUGAAGGGUUUGUUUGCUCAAAGCUAUUAGCUCUAUGGAAGCUUACUAUCUUGCAGCUAAAUUUAAAAACAGAACUAGAGAUAGAGGGAGACAUCCGCAUGGCUAGAUAACGAUAACGCUGCUCCCGGGUACAGUAGGCUGCUAAACGAAUUAGAGCUCCAGGUAUGUUACCAUGGGAACUGUUUGGGAGGUGCCAGAGCAGCCUCCACACAAUGCAGGCUCCUGUGAAGCCACUCAGCUGCCCACAAGAACUAGAGGUUAAGACCCUAAGGCUGAGGACACCACACACCAUAGCUGGAAAGCUGGACAGAGCUAAGCUGGAAACGUCUUCCUUGAUGGCAAAUUUCCGUAGGGCUAGAGGUGCAAUGGAAGCAGGUGGAAGAAACAAGGCCUCAAUGGAUGCACCAAGCUGUGAACCCUGUGGACUGCAAAACCAAACCGACAAGCAAGCUGUGCCCUCCUGCUCACAAAUAACACAACUGCUACGGGGGAAACCAACAGCCCCCGACUGAAUUUGAGGCCUACUCCUCAGGAGACAAUCUAUGCCUGGUACUAAAAACUCAUUCAACAAUAAUGCCUAAAAAUUCAUGGGCACAAAGAAAUGAACUUACUACUCCUGAGCUAAACUGACAUAGCAUCUAACUGUCCUUUAAAUGUCAAUAUUAAACACACAGAGAAAUGUGAACUCUUGGUCUCAAUCCCAGAUGUUCCUCUUUGCAGCGAAUCCAGAGUCAUGACUGUGAUCCUGACAAUGAAUAUCUAAGGAGAAGGAGAAUAUAAAAACCAAGAGGCCAAAAGAAGGGCCAUGGGAACCCUCUGGGUAAAGCAUCGUCAUUGCAGUCAUGAGUUCUGCAGCUCUAGUCAUUUGUACUGGGCCUGAACGAGACAGGUCCUAGAUGGGGCAAUGGUUUGUGGGGCUCGAUCUUUUACUCAAGAACUAUCGACUACUGAUGAGUUCUAGGACAAAUAGAGUCAUUGUCUUCACCUGUCCAUCUACACCUGAGCAGACCAGGCUCCAAUGGACAGCCUGAAUCUAAAGCCAUACAGGCAGGUUAAACUCAGUGGGUCACAAAAACAAAAACAAGCAAAAAAAUAGAUAGAAAUGUUAGGGAAACAAUUGUAGGCAAGGGUUUGUUAUAGACAGGAGUGGUAAGGAGCUAAAAGAGGAUAGGAGA